Molecule: unclassified non-coding RNA, 220 nt
Filed under: uncultured Tomentella
Lineage: Eukaryota; Fungi; Basidiomycota; Agaricomycetes; Thelephorales; Thelephoraceae
Description: sequence contains ITS2
Source: RNAcentral
ACACCUCAACUCUUUAUGGUUUUCCAUGAUGAGCUUGGACUCUGGGGGUUUUGCUGGCCUACAGUCAGCUCCUCUAAAAUAAAUCAGCUUACCAGUGUUUGGUGGGUAUCAUGGGUGUGAUAACUAUCUACGCUCGUGGUUUUCCACCAGGUAACCUUCAGCAGUGGAGGUUCACUGGAGCUCAUAGAUGUCUCUCCUCUGUGAGGACAGCCCUUUGAAU